UACGUAGGUGACAAGCGUUGUCCGGAUUUACUGGGCGUAAAGAGCGCGCAGGCGGUCGAUCAAGUCGAGUGUGAAAGCCCCCGGCUCAACUGGGGAGGGUCAUUCGAUACUGAUCGACUCGAAGGCAGGAGAGGGUAGUGGAAUUCCCGGUGUAGUGGUGAAAUGCGUAGAUAUCGGGAGGAACACCAGUGGCGAAGGCGACUACCUGGCCUGUUCCUGACGCUGAGGCGCGAAAGCUAGGGGAGCAAACGGG
This 253-nucleotide ribosomal RNA is filed under the name uncultured bacterium. RNAcentral's name for it is "partial 16S ribosomal RNA". It matches the Rfam family "Bacterial small subunit ribosomal RNA", at positions 524 to 776 of the family's 1533-position model. The record is from RNAcentral.